UGGGUACUGCGGAAGGAUCAUUA
Molecule: ribosomal RNA, 23 nt
Filed under: Agaricus marisae
Lineage: Eukaryota; Fungi; Basidiomycota; Agaricomycetes; Agaricales; Agaricaceae
Description: partial 18S ribosomal RNA
Source: RNAcentral